This is a small nucleolar RNA of Lepus europaeus (European hare), 71 nucleotides long. NCBI's taxonomy places the organism in Eukaryota, Metazoa, Chordata, Mammalia, Lagomorpha, Leporidae. The record is from RefSeq and is a predicted model, not a curated record.
UCUCGGGAUGGGAUUCCAGUAGCUCCUCUGACCCUCCACGGCAGACUCGGCAGCAGGGAGAUGAAGAGAGA